This 253-nucleotide ribosomal RNA is filed under the name uncultured bacterium. Its description in RNAcentral is "partial 16S ribosomal RNA". It matches the Rfam family "Bacterial small subunit ribosomal RNA", at positions 524 to 776 of the family's 1533-position model. The record is from RNAcentral.
UACGUAGGCAGCGAGCGUUGUUCGGAGUUACUGGGCGUAAAGGGUGUGUAGGCGGUUGUUUAAGUUUGGUGUGAAAUCUCCCGGCUCAACUGGGAGGGUGCGCCGAAUACUGAAUGACUAGAGUGCGGGAGAGGAGAGUGGAAUUCCUGGUGUAGCGGUGAAAUGCGUAGAUAUCAGGAGGAACACCGGUGGUGUAGACGGCUCUCUGGACCGUAACUGACGCUGAGACACGAAAGCGUGGGGAGCAAACAGG